GCACGGACUCUGAAAAAGAUGUUCUCCCCGAAAGCCAAAAGAACUCUAAAAGGAGUAAAAUAUCAACUGUUUGGAAGUAUUAUUGGACCCACGUUUUAAAAAAAAUGGUUUUCAAGACGCUUCAAACGCUGAACAAGCAUCAACCUUUUUUGAAAACGAACUGGCCCAUUCGUCAAUCGAAGAGUCCAGAAAGGAUCUGACCAUCGCAGCGGACACAAGUACCCAGGACACAUUUUUUGAUUUUUUGGGUGAACGAUCAGAUAGCAAAAUCGGAAACGCACGAGUGGAUGCUAUACUUAUUAAAAGGCAAUAUCUGGAGAGGGCAAUUGUCAGUCACGAUGUGGACCCACUGUUAUGGAUUAAGGUUAAUCAAACUGAUCUUCCCUGCAUAAAGGGCCUCUUUUGCAAAUACCUUUGCAUUCCCGCAACAUCCGUAGAAUCGGAAAGAGCUUUUAGCAAGGCAGGGCAAAUUGUUUCCGAGAGACGCACCCGGCUCAAAGAGAAAAACAUUAACAUCCUGUUAUUUUUGAAUCAAAACUUUUGGUUAAAAUAAACCAUUUUUCUUAAAAACUUAAAAAAAAAA
Long non-coding RNA from Drosophila gunungcola (fruit fly), 583 nucleotides. RefSeq lists it as uncharacterized. The record is from RefSeq and is a predicted model, not a curated record. Lineage: Eukaryota; Metazoa; Arthropoda; Insecta; Diptera; Drosophilidae. The transcript has 2 exons.